Molecule: ribosomal RNA, 389 nt
Filed under: Clostridioides difficile
Lineage: Bacteria; Bacillati; Bacillota; Clostridia; Peptostreptococcales; Peptostreptococcaceae
Description: bacterial SSU rRNA
Rfam family: Bacterial small subunit ribosomal RNA
Source: RNAcentral
AAUAUCAAAGGUGAGCCAGUACAGGAUGGACCCGCGUCUGAUUAGCUAGUUGGUAAGGUAACGGCUUACCAAGGCGACGAUCAGUAGCCGACCUGAGAGGGUGAUCGGCCACAUUGGAACUGAGACACGGUCCAAACUCCUACGGGAGGCAGCAGGGGGGAAUAUUGCACAAUGGGCGAAAGCCUGAUGCAGCAACGCCGCGUGAGUGAUGAAGGCCUUCGGGUCGUAAAACUCUGUCCUCAAGGAAGAUAAUGACGGUACUUGAGGAGGAAGCCCCGGCUAACUACGUGCCAGCAGCCGCGGUAAUACGUAGGGGGCUAGCGUUAUCCGGAUUUACUGGGCGUAAAGGGUGCGUAGGCGGUCUUUCAAGUCAGGAGUGAAAGGCUACG